Molecule: long non-coding RNA, 2249 nt
Organism: Capsicum annuum
Lineage: Eukaryota; Viridiplantae; Streptophyta; Magnoliopsida; Solanales; Solanaceae
Exons: 2
Source: RefSeq, a predicted model, not a curated record
AUUCAGUAUAGAAUUUAGAAAUUCCCACAUUGGUGGCCCUACCAUUUUUUUUGUGUGUGUGGUGUCGAUAUUGCAGUCUUGAGUGCGAAACAAUGAAAGUCAAGAUUUUGCUUAUCCUUUUGUGGUUAUUUUACUAAUAUGAAAUGUUAUUUCAUUAGAGCAGAUAAAGAAGUAGUGAAAUAUAGCAAAUGUUACGAAAUGAAUACACGGGACAUGGUUCAUAUUGACCUUACCGAGGACAUAACCUUAGAGUAGAAGAGUUUGAAGGUCGCAUAUAUUACGAUAGUAGAAAGUUAAUAGUUGAGUGUUUUCUUGCUUCCCUGUGAGAUAGGCUACGAGGUUAUUCUUGGACCUCCUGCACUUUAAGUAUAAUUAACACUAUGAUUGUAGUUCCUUGAGCUUCAAUUUUCAACUUUCACCGAUGGCACGCCGUUGCAUCGUGGACGUGGGAUGCUCAUGAUAAAAGUUGUGGUAUAUGCAGGAUGGCUUUUGAUGGUUGUUGUCCUGAUUGUAAACUCCCUUAGUUAUCGAGGUUUACAUAUUUCUACAUUGAUGUUACUCAUGAAGACAAGGAGAUAACUGGACAGCUCCAGAUGUAUCACAAGAUUCAAUUGUAAAGUUGUCUUUACUACAACUCCUAACAAUCUUACGAGCACAAAACAAACUCUUAUAAGAUCAUGACGUUGUCUCUGUUUAGAGACCAUGUGAAAUCAUCACCUUCUUUAUACAAUUUUCCUAUAUUUACGAAAAGUAAAUUAUUUACUUACCCGUGCAUCCUUAACUCACAAGCCCUUGGCCCUGGCCACCCUUUAACCAAGAAGGAGAAAAAGGUAGUCUUUGGUGUCUCUCCAUGCCUCUACAAGGAUGGUAAUGAAGGGGAUGAAACAUGCCCACGCAAACCGAAUUUGGGAGUAACAAAUCCAUCAGAUGCCAUGUUAUACUCAAGUUUCUAUCUGCAGUAGUAAGUUAACCGUAAGGAAGCCUUUUACUUACAGGCAAUACCGGAUGGCAGAAGUACCUUGCAACUAAAGUUGGAAAACACCAGGGACAGGCAAGAUGAUUGCCAAAAGAAUAUCUACACAUGUCAUUUUGAUGUAUCCCAUUUUUCCUUUCUUCUGAUUCUUUCUUAACAGAUUCUGAUUAAAUGUUAAUUAAAGAGCAGAUUUAGGCUUGUCACUGAAUUUUGAAAAUGAGGAAGAAGUGAAUUUUUUAUUUUUUUUUAUAUGGUUAGGUUCAUCAUCUUUCUGUGGAUGGUAUUAACAUGACCUCUCUGGAGUCUGGCACCUUUCUUUAAAUCUAUUAAUGCUUUGAUAAUUUACUUGUCUUUGCAGUAUGGGGUGCUUGCAAUCAUGCAUUUCAUCUUCACUGUAUCUUGAAGUGGGUGAAUUCUCAAUCUACUCAAGCACAUUGUCCCAUGUGUCGUCGUGAAUGGCAGUUUAAAGAAUGAACAAAGAUUAUGUGCAUCUUAUGCUCAUCAAUGGCAGUAGAAGGAAUGAAUUCAAAAUUUUAGUCCACUACUAAGAUUAUCUGUUUUCAUGCUUCUUGAGAGAAGGGGUAAAAAGUGCUUGUUUUCUAUUGUAUAUUUGGUACUAUUACAGUGUCUGUGUGUGAUAAUUUGAUAUUGUAGCAAGCAUAAUUUUGCUCAUCCCCUUGUACCAAAACUAAAGCCUUCAAGGCCAAGAAUAGGUAGUGUAUUUGUAUCAGCCUUGGAGGCAGGUGCAGAUGUUUAUGAUCCAUCCAUCCAAAGUCUUCAACUGAGAUGCAACAACAACAUACUGAGGGUAAAGUGUACGCAGUCCAUACCACUACCUCAGACAAAGUAGAUAGAGAGGCAGUCUUCAACUGGAUGAUAUAUGCUUUAUUAUCUUCUUAAACUCUCAGGUACAUGGCACAUUUUGGCGAGACGUUAUGGCUGAAAUGACUCUCCAUCUAGUUUAUGCACAUCCCAUGCUGCUGCCAGUAUUAACAUUCCUCCAAACAUCAGCAUGACAUGCUAGCUCAUUCAGGAUGACCUUCAUUGUACUUGGAACUAUUUUUCCAGUAAUAGUCUGAUAGUCUUUGGAAGAGAUGUGCUGAACUGAGGAGGUCAAGAUUCAAGGUAGUUGAUGGAUGGAUGCUUCUUAUAUUCUUUCUAUAAUAGCAUCUGAGAUGUGAAAACCAACAAGAAUGGUCUUAUGAGAUCUUCUAAGUUGCCCUCAUGUUGUACAAAUGUGACACUCAUUAAAUUAGUGGUCAUUCAUGGGCGCAAA